This 287-nucleotide ribosomal RNA is filed under the name uncultured bacterium. RNAcentral describes it as "partial 16S ribosomal RNA". It matches the Rfam family "Bacterial small subunit ribosomal RNA", at positions 775 to 1067 of the family's 1533-position model. The record is from RNAcentral.
GGAUUAGAUACCCUGGUAGUCCACGCCGUAAACGAUGAUCACUAGCUAUUGGCGAUACACUGUCAGUGGCACAGCGAAAGUGUUAAGUGAUCCACCUGGGGAGUACGAUCGCAAGGUUGAAACUCAAAGGAAUUGACGGGGGCCCGCACAAGCGGUGGAGCAUGUGGUUUAAUUCGAUGAUACGCGAGGAACCUUACCAGGGCUUAAAUGUAUGUUGACAUAUUGGGAAACCAGUAUUUCUUCGGACAAUAUACAAGGUGCUGCAUGGCUGUCGUCAGCUCGUGCUG